This 28-nucleotide small RNA is filed under the name Bombyx mori (domestic silkworm). RNAcentral's name for it is "ovarian small RNA-14941". Lineage: Eukaryota; Metazoa; Arthropoda; Insecta; Lepidoptera; Bombycidae. The record is from RNAcentral.
CUGGCAACGACUAUGCUGGAGAAUGGGA